CCCUUGUAUUUUUAUUUUUAUUGGAUAAAUUUUUAUUUAUAUAAAAUUAAAAAUUUUGGCAGUUAAUUUUAUAUUAAAGGAGCUUGUUUGGAUUGAGAAUUUGCUCUUUAAAUUUAAAUAAUUUGAAUUUUUAGUUUAUUCAUUUCUGUUAUUAAAAAAAUUAAAAAAAAGUUCAUUUAGAAUUUCAGGUCAAGAUGUAACAAUUAUAUUAUUAAUAAUUAGCUACAAUUAGAUAUUAUUUUGGUUAAAAGGGUUAAGUAUAAAUUUUUAUAAAUUGAAUUUAGUUGUAAUAGGUAUUUAUAAUAUUAUUAUGAUUUAGGAAAAUUAAUGU
Molecule: ribosomal RNA, 331 nt
Filed under: Promitobates intermedius
Lineage: Eukaryota; Metazoa; Arthropoda; Arachnida; Opiliones; Gonyleptidae
Description: partial 12S ribosomal RNA
Source: RNAcentral